This 292-nucleotide ribosomal RNA is filed under the name uncultured bacterium. Its description in RNAcentral is "partial 16S ribosomal RNA". It matches the Rfam family "Bacterial small subunit ribosomal RNA", at positions 333 to 617 of the family's 1533-position model. The record is from RNAcentral.
CGCCUCCUACGGGGGGCAGCAGUGGGGAAUAUUGCGCAAUGGGCGAAAGCCUGACGCAGCGACGCCGCGUGAGGGAUGAAGGUCUUCGGAUCGUAAACCUCUGUCAGCAGGGAAGAACGGUCACUGUGCUAAUCAGCAGUGAUUUGACGGUACCUGCAAAGGAAGCACCGGCUAACUCCGUGCCAGCAGCCGCGGUAAUACGGAGGGUGCGAGCGUUAAUCGGAAUUACUGGGCGUAAAGCGCUCGUAGGCGGUAUGUCACGUCAAGGGUGAAAUCCCCGCGCCCACCGUGG